CUACGGGGCGCAGCAGUGGGGAAUCUUAGACAAUGGGCGCAAGCCUGAUCUAGCCAUGCCGCGUGAGUGACGAAGGCCUUAGGGUCGUAAAGCUCUUUCGCUGGGGAAGAUAAUGACGGUACCCAGUAAAGAAACCCCGGCUAACUCCGUGCCAGCAGCCGCGGUAAUACGGAGGGGGUUAGCGUUGUUCGGAAUUACUGGGCGUAAAGCGCGCGUAGGCGGAUCAGAAAGUUGGGGGUGAAAUCCCGGGGCUCAACCCCGGAACUGCCUUCAAAACUCCUGGUCUUGAGUUCGAGAGAGGUGAGUGGAAUUCCGAGUGUAGAGGUGAAAUUCGUAGAUAUUCGGAGGAACACCAGUGGCGAAGGCGGCUCACUGGCACGAUACUGACGCUGAGGUGCGAAAGCGUGGGGAGCAAACAGGAUUAGAUACCCGGGUAGUC
RNAcentral lists this ribosomal RNA (439 nucleotides) under uncultured bacterium. RNAcentral's name for it is "partial 16S ribosomal RNA". It matches the Rfam family "Bacterial small subunit ribosomal RNA", at positions 339 to 795 of the family's 1533-position model. The record is from RNAcentral.